This 257-nucleotide ribosomal RNA is filed under the name uncultured bacterium. RNAcentral's name for it is "partial 16S ribosomal RNA". It matches the Rfam family "Bacterial small subunit ribosomal RNA", at positions 28 to 285 of the family's 1533-position model. The record is from RNAcentral.
GACGAACGCUGGCGGCGUGCUUAACACAUGCAAGUCGAGCGGUAAGGCCCUUUCGGGGGUACACGAGCGGCGAACGGGUGAGUAACACGUGGGUGACCUGCCCUCAGCUCUGGGAUAAGCCUGGGAAACUGGGUCUAAUACCGGAUAUGACUUCGCAUCGCAUGGUGUGGGGUGGAAAGUUUUUCGGCNGGGAGUGGGCCCGGCCGGCCUAUCAGCUUGUUGGUGGGGGUGAUGGCCUACCAAGGCGACGACGGGUA